AAGACACAGCAUAGAAAAAAAAAUGUUAAAUGCGACAGGAACUGAUGCUGUGUUGCAAGUUCUGGAUAAUGUGUAUUGCCUUUUCAUGAAAACCUGACAAACUCAUUGCACCGAUUACCCGGAAAUAAAAGAAUGUGAGCAGCAGUAAAAGCCAACAUACAAGAAAGCACUCUACAUCCAGAUAAAUUUCAAGAGCUUCAGAGCUUCCCACUCUUCAAAGGCUUUCUGGAAUAAAAACUUCCAGAAGAAGAACAUGUGUGGAAUAAUACGGCUCAGUGAAAACCAGCUAAAUAAAAAAGAAGGUGACAGACAUGUAUCUUAAAGAAAGAAAUGCUGUGAUCAGGAUGCAGCUUUCUGAAGUGCUCAGAAAUGGAGAGAUGCUUUUGGAACUCAUGCUGUGCUGAAGACCUAGAUUGAGAUUCCCAGAUUCUAAUAUAAAUGUGCCAUAGCAAAGUGCUGGCUAAAUAAUUCCUGAGUAGUCAAACACCUUGUCCUGGCCAAUACUGAAAGCUGUUGCUACUGCAGCUUCUGCUACCUCUACCAGCAGUGGCCACAGUCAUAGUGAGGAAGAGGCAUAUAACAACCACUGAUUUGGAUGAUUUUACUUCAACUAAAAACUGAGGUAAUGUGUUCUUAUUUUCUUAAAUAAAAACGGGAGGGCCCUAAGGAGCAUGAAGAAUCUAUAGGUAGAUGGGAGCAAUAUAAGGUAGGUAGUGGAAAGAGAAUUUAAGGAGUUUUAGUUGGGUAAAAAUAGAACAGGAGACCAUAACUUAGACAUAUAAACAUUUAUUGUGUUGCAUUUACUAUUCUAUUUACCCAUUCUCGUAAUAAAUGCAGCAAGACUAAAAUACUAAGGAGAAACACCACUAUUGAAGCAAAUAAUGGAGGACAGCUGAUAUCUUGGAGAGAAACGUUCAAGACCCAGAAAUACCAAUGUGUUAAAGGAUCUAAAGGAAUAACAAAAGAUUUUUGAUGCAUUUCUGAUCUCCUUGCUUAAUAUUAACACCUAAUGAAAAUAGAGAAGGGCAUGAAGCAGCUAGCAGUGACCAUUUUUAAACAUUGCUUGUUUAAUCGUACAAACUGUUGAAUUACACAACUCCUACUGAAAUAAAUAGGAACUGUUGCUGUUGA
Manacus vitellinus (golden-collared manakin) is the source of this 1131-nucleotide long non-coding RNA. RefSeq lists it as uncharacterized. The transcript has 2 exons. The record is from RefSeq and is a predicted model, not a curated record. Lineage: Eukaryota; Metazoa; Chordata; Aves; Passeriformes; Pipridae.